Molecule: ribosomal RNA, 253 nt
Filed under: uncultured bacterium
Lineage: Bacteria
Description: partial 16S ribosomal RNA
Rfam family: Bacterial small subunit ribosomal RNA
Source: RNAcentral
CACGUAGGGUGCGAGCGUUGUCCGGAAUUAUUGGGCGUAAAGAGCUCGUAGGCGGCUUGUUGCGUCGUCCGUGAAAACCUGUGGCUCAACUACAGGCUUGCGGUCGAUACGGGCGGGCUGGAGUUCGGAAGAGGCGAGUGGAAUUCCAGGUGUAGCGGUGAAAUGCGUAGAUAUCUGGAGGAACACCGGUGGCGAAGGCGGCAUCCUGGACCGGUAUUGACACUGAGGCGCGAAAGCCAGGGGAGCAAACGGG